UUUAAACCAAACAUACCUUUAAUCAUAUCACAUCUCCAAGGGCAAAUUAUCAAACGUUGGAUAAGAAGCGGGCCAGAGGGAGAAUCAUACAUAACGGCUAGCCCAGCUAGAAGAAUAAAAAAAUACAUAAAUAUUAAAACUAAUGUCCAAAACGAACCCAACCCAAGAUUCAUACAUAUAUAUAGCGAACGAGUCGUCACCAUUUAGCAAGACUCAAUACUCUCUCUCUCUUGUAUUCUUUCUUUCUAGAAACAAUAAAAACACAGAAAAAAUCUGAAUUUGGAAAAAGGUUGGUGCAUCGGACAAGUUUCUGAGUUGAAUCAGUUCCGCCCGUGAACCAAAAAAGAUAUCUCUUACCACAAAACUCACCUUUUCUUCCAUGACCAUCAAAACUCUCUCACUUUCACUCCGCAUACAACGGUUCUGAUUUGCCUCCAGUUCCCCACACAGAGAGAAGAGUGAAAAUCGCGAAUGGGGACUCUCUGUUUCCCUCUAUUUGCGAUCAUCGC
This 509-nucleotide long non-coding RNA is filed under the name Glycine max (soybean). Its description in RNAcentral is "long non-coding RNA (GMAX_LNC002410)". Lineage: Eukaryota; Viridiplantae; Streptophyta; Magnoliopsida; Fabales; Fabaceae. The record is from RNAcentral.